GCAUAUCUAUCGUACCUUCGGGCGACAAGUUGAACAGUGUAACUUAAGUGUUGAAAAUGAAACCUUAUAAUUCUGUGAAUCACAGUGUUAUACUAACUCAACUACCCCUGUUAUCUUAACGGAAAUCAGGGGAUCGAUCAAUUCGUGGUGUCAAUUGCUAUAAUCGCAACGGGAAUUUACGACUCCCGUUGACGUCUCUCCUCGCGAGUGCGUCUCCCCGCGAUUGGUCGAAAAUAUAAUAACUAUAAUGUAUUAAUAUAUUGGUAGCGCUGUAUAAAUUCUAUAUAUUAAUCCAGAUGAAACAUCACAGUGGUGUUUUCAUCCAGAAAAAGUAACUGUCUUCGUGUUAUGAAGGAAGUGCUUUAGGAAUGACGUAUCCUAAAUUCAGCCAAUACGAUCCUAUGUCUAUCGAGCAUUGUCCGGGCAAGCAGUCCAGCAGCAAUCUCGCGGUCGUUCCUUCUACUGGGGAAUGGUGGACGUCGAGCAGAGUUCCUCGUUGUAAUCGCAUAAUCAGCUUUGCCAAUUCGUCGUUCAAUGCUUCCUUAGAUUGAUUGGGCGGCUGCACACCUCGCAGGUUAAUCUUCCUUACCCAUGGUGCCAAGUUUACAAACUUGGCUGGUAAUAUUCUAAUCGAAUUGAACUGGUGGUGCUGUAUUAACCCCCAGUCGAUCAACAGAACGACGAAACCCGUUUCGGUUCGUCUUAGGAGCUGAGCCCUUUCGUAAAAAUAAUUAUUAUCCAUUUUUACUGGCACGGCGGUAAGCAUACCUAUGGACAAUUUUGCGAUGUUUGGCUGGUACGCCAUAGGCCACGAUUGCAUUAUCCAUGUGAGUCUCCUGGUCAUUCUCGGCCAUUCUUCCAGCCGGACCCAGACGGUAGUAAGCGAUUCCGUUUCUGACACGAAGAUGCGAACUUUGUCCACGAAACGUUCUCUCGGUCGCGCUUGUCGUUGUAUUUGCAUCUUCUGGCGUUCUUUCUCCUGAGCACACUGAUUUCUUGCGUGUUCCGCUUGGUUCGAGUUAUUUCACUGAGAAGUCCCUGUCACACACUCGGAAAUCUUGUCACGAAGUUGGAAUGUCAGCGUUUAACUAUGGUGAUUUUCUACUUGCUUCUUGUAAUAACUGGAUGUUUCUGAUUUUCCAGAAUUCGGGCUCCCUUAUAUAGGAGGCAAGAAUCCCUUCCACUGUGGUGGUUACCGCGGUGUUAUUGUUGAGGACAAUUAAAAUAAUAAUUCCCAAGGGCAAAGGCAAAUGACAAAGUCUAUUCCUCUCUUUUCCUUUAUUAGUAUCGAGACUAAUAAGGACUAAUUACAUCUAAUAAAGACAUUUAAUUAAAUAUCUGAUAAAUACCACAUUUUAGGAUUCGUAUACAGAGUGUGUCAUAACAUCUGUACAUCUUUUAAAAGAAACUUAAAAACUAACGAGAACCACUGGUUGUAAACCAAUAGUGUGGUUGUAAACCACUGUAGCAAAUUCGAUUUAUAUUUUAUGGAUCUUUACGGUUACAUAUGCGUACCAAUUAGGCGUUAAUUUGAUGACGAAUCGUUCGAAUCGUUGAUUCAAUUAUUUGUUUACUUAUUGAUUCAUAUCGGUGUAUAUCGGUGUAUCUGCUUUCUCUCAAGGGCAGCAGCAUUCUUUUCCAACGACCAACACGAAUUAGCCAAUAAACAUUAACGUACAUUUCCCUCACUUUCGCUCGCGAAUCGGCUAUCUCGAAGUAUCCCACCGCUACUACUAAUUUUGUUACGUGGUAGAGGUGAGUGGAGCCUAUUUCGAAAGAGAAUGUGGCUGACGAGCCAGUUUUAUCACCCGAGGCUGGGGAACUUGGUGUUUUGCGACCAAGACUGCACAGAGGGAUUCCAAAUGAAGUGACCUCGAUACGAUCAGAAGACUCCGUAAAGUCGUUAGAUUUAGUGAAAUCAAAGAAGGAAGGAGGAAAUAUAGAAUAAAAAUUUUUCGUUCGAGGCUUUGUUUUCGAGAAAAUCGACUUUGAAUUUUCGCUCGAUACGCGUGCACUUUAUCGCGUCUCGUUAUAACGGAUUUCACUUCUUCUUUUUUCGCGUAGAAUCACCCCCACCAGUUACCGACUACCCUGUAUAUUAUAUUACACAGUCGAAAAUAUAGAAUAAAAAUUUUUUUUAAUUUUUAAUUUUUCCAUCGAGACAACGAUCUACAGUGAGAUCCGUUAUAACGAGACGUGAUAAAGUAAACUAAGAACAUAAACUAAACAUAAAGUAAACUAGUAACAUAUCGAAACCUAUAUAAGAUACCUCAUACUAAUCAAUUUUUAUUUGUCGUUUUCACGAAUAUUUUGAUCGUAUCUAAAGAUCAUAUUAAUAUGUUUUAAUAAAAAGAUAAAAUGCUGUCCAUGGUAAAAAGGAAAAAGAAGAAAGAUAUUUUUGAAACAAAAAUAUGUUCAUGCACCGUGAACGUUCCGGUAUAUCGAGAAACUAAGCGAAUAGUUCGCAACGUGGUGGACGUUGUAGCUACGAGUCGCGUACCUGUUACAUGUUAACCUUUGUUCUUCACGGAACGAUAGGUAUCGAUCAUGGGCAGGGGAGGUCGACGACACAAAAUGAAAUCGUUAACGUGCAGUGCGUUAAACAGAAUUAGGCAUAGGCGGUGCGUUUUUUUUAUUCCCGAAUAAUUACGAAAAAAGAAAAAAAAUUGAUCGUCUAUCGACUAACAGGUAUAUUUUCGGGCAUAAAAGGGCUCGUUUUUUUUUUUCGAAGCGUUUAAUCAACGAAUAUGUCAAUCGUCCGAUUUCUCCCCUCGUUAGUAGUUAAUUACACCCGUAUGAUAUUAAGUAAUAAUUAGACCGCAGAUUUUUAUGUAAAUUCAUAUCUCUAUGAAUAUAGUUAGAGAAAGGAAUGGAACACGAAGGCUUGUUUGUUUCACUUACUACGUUUCACAACGAAUACCUUACUUUGGAUGUUUAUAUAUUUCUACUUCUCUUUUUUUUUUAUUUAUUUAUUUACAUUUUACAAUUUGUCCAGUAGGACAUUUGGUAAAAUAUUAUAGCUUAGUGGCAUAAUAAUAUAACAUGUGAAUGGCUACCCCCAGUGGGAUACCAUCUUCGAAUUAUAUAUUUCUACAUGAUGCAUCACAUGCAUUCUUGCAUCCUCCAAGUUCCCGCAAAUGCACAAACAAUCGCAGUCUGAUAAUAAUUAUAGUCGAAAUGCUGAUUGCCAUGUAUUUUUUUUACGAUGCGAAAGAUAUAUUUAGCUAUUAUAGAAGACGGUGUUGACUCGAAAAAGGCUGCAGGAUGUCCAGGAAUAUAGGUAGAAAGAAUGGACAAUACGCGUCGCAUGUAGGAAGAUAUGUAAGAAGCAAAUCAAUGCUAAAGCAAAAUUGCGUUGUAAGAACGCAAAUUGUACGAUACGAAAAAAAUGAGUUUUAAACGAAAUCACUGCAUGCUUAUGUACUGGUGUGGCUCCAUGCUCCAGUACGCUUUAUAUCGAUAGAAGACUCGAUUCUUCAUCCAAAUCGGAGCCAAACACUUUGUACAGUUUCGAUUCUUAUCGUUUCUGCUGACUGUAGAAACUGUCUGUCUGUCUGUCUCUUGUAAGUUUACAUCGUAAGCAGCUGUGUUGCAAGACAUGUGGCGCCGAUAUUCCUGACGACCUCCCGGUAUCUGGCAGGGAGAGAGAGAUCACAGUGAUGCAGCAUCCGUUGAAUAAUUAUUUUUUGAUCUUGCCGCGAAAGUACAUAUCUCUCUAUACCCUCGAACAUGGCUCCUUCAGCAUUUUACUUGUACUAUUUGUAUUUCAUUUUUACAAUGCACGUCAUUUUAUCUUCUUUCUUUUGUUAGAACUCUACCUCUUUUAGUCCAUAUCCUUAUCUAGUAAAUUUAUUUGCAUGAUUUAUUUACGUACUUACGCGAUCGGCAUUAAAUGGUUUGAUUGUGAAUGGCUCACUGGUCAAAUAUAUUUUUCGACAAUUUACGGCGUUAUUACGUCGAAGAGAUUUCAAAGGUUCCAGAAUGAAAUCCUUCAUUUCUGUGAUAGAAUUCAAUGAGAAGUUGCGCACGUGACACGCCUACGUAUUCGACGAUGUGAAAUUUCUCUGCUUUGUUGCUGCUCUUCUAUCGCUGUUAUCUGCUAUGACGCAAUGCCUAUCUUUUAUUGUCGACCGGAAAUUAACCGGCAAUGUCAAUGUUACUUGUACUAUGUACCAUCCACAUUGAGAUUUCCAAUUUAAGUGCAGUGACGUUUAAAAUUUACACAUUCGUCAGCAAGGAAAGCGAGAUCUCUUUACCUUCUUUCUCGUCGUUACUUUUCUUGUUACAUUAGAAACGCGAAAGUAUUGUAAAACGUGAUUUCGUCGUCGAAUCGAUACACGUUCGAAAUUGAGCAUUUGCCUAAGGAAAAACUGGUCCAUCUGCACUUAGUUGCAUAUCGUUUGUUUCAAAUUCGCUCGACUAACACGUCAAGCACCUUAUCUGGUUUCAAAGAUAAAAUUCUGAUAUUAUACAGCCUACUAUACUACCGACUACGACUAUACUUUUGAUAUUUACUAAAAAACGAAAAACUAUCUUUACUUUAUUUAGUGUUCUAUAACAAAUGUGAGUGCAGUUACAACGACGCCAAUAUCAAACAACAGACUUGUAGAUAUUUAUAUAGAUACAUUGCAGAUACUUAUAGAAUGCAAAAUUAUAUAAAUGUUCGUAAUCUCUAAUAUACCUUUCGAGCCGAUUCUCUCGCAAACUAAUCCUCGUACGAUAACAUCACAUUACAUAUUCCUUCCUUGUUUUUUCAUCAGCAAUCACCUGAUGCCCGUUUGUGUAUGUUAUUGAGCCGGACACUGUAUAAAUAUCAAGUUAUAAGACUGGCACGGGCAGAAAAUGUGUGCAGUGUGUAAGAAAAUAGAAUAGAGGUAGAAGGUGAAAAAGUUAGCAGCCAAGGAUGCGCAUAAUAUGCGCAUAAAGUAUGUAUUUUUGGUGUACAAGCAAUUGUCAACGAAUGGCAGAGGUCUAUUACCGCGCAAUUUAUCUGAAAACUUGGUAUUAUUCGUUAAUUAUAGUUUAUUAUCAUUAGAUAUCGCAACAUCGUUUCACUUUACGGAUAACAAUACAUUUGUUUGUCUUUUAAUUACGUAUAAAAUGUUAGAGCGAAUUGCACUUGCAACUACACGCAUUAUAUAAGCUUCAAACAACACUCGGUUACACGAUGUUGAAUUUACUCGUUUUACUUGUCUUACGAAUAUUCGGCGAAAGUUUAGUCCGUAAAUCAAUCUCUUUUAAUUCAGACAUCCUGAAUUUCUGUUUUUGCGUGUGUUCUUUUCAGUAAUACAUUUUUCGCCUGCGAUUUUAAUCGAAUUUUCGUAUUAUUUUAUUGUAUUUUUCGUUUCAUUUAUUGCAUCAAAGGGUCUAAUUUAUUUUGUAUUUAAACGUUUUGUCCAAACAGUAGAAUAACGUUAAACAUAAAUAAACUCGUUAAAAAUUACAAGACGUAAAUCGAGCAACUUAAUCCGAUAUCUGUCCAACUUUUCUCCGAGUUCCGCGUAGAAUUUCCCCGAUGAAAUCGCAACUCAUCAUGAAACCGCGUUUGUCUGUGCCAGGAGUAUAUUGGGCGUCACGUCGUUUUCCUUCUAGAAAUUUCCGGCUUUCCUGGCGAUUGUGCUCGCCUGCUCGGUUACCUCGGUCUCUCCACUGCAAAACGUUCCUGCUUGCCAUCCGCUUACUUAUCUCUCCAAACUUGUGUCUGUUCAUUUACGAGGAGCUUAUCGCGCCUACCUUCCACGCAUUCUCACAGUUGUGCACUCGGCGUGCUAGAAAAUUUGCAUACCACGGUUCUUACUCUGAUUCUUCGCCUCUUUGUUUCGUUCGUCGGAACGAGAACGAAACAGAGACACAAAAAUUCGAAGCCAAGGUUACACGAAGAAGUGGAUCGAAAUGCUCGCAACGAAAAUGAUGCUUAGCCAUCUUCGUGUUUCCAGGGAAAUGAAAAGAUACUCUGCCAUUUUCCUUUAUAAUUUCCAUUUGAUACGUUCCAAUAUCGAUCCCUGUCUCCUUUUCGUUACGAGAAUACCAAUUACAUAUUUUCUUUAAGAUUGAGGUAUGUAAAAGGUUGAAAGAAGCAGGUCUGCGCGUAAAGCUACUAGGCAGGUAUAGGUAAUCGACCGACCAUAGUUGGACCGGAAUCCUGCUUCGUCCUUGAGGAACUCGGAACAUGCUCGAAGGUGAUUCGCGUGAUCUUUCUCCAGAGACCGUACCGUCACAGUUUCAGAUACCAUGAUAUAAUAGCCACAGCUAAAUACGUAACUCUGCGUUGUAUGGUUACAGCGGUAUAGCGAUAAAACUUUCGUCGUGUUCUAUUAUAUCUUUCUUCGCACGCUGUCUGUCUAAUACUAUAGUUUUCCAAGCGUCUGGAUAACAACGGUGUAUUAAAACAAGGAAACUUCCAAGAUGUUUAACGGUCUUGACAUUUUUACUUCGUAACAUGUUAUUAGUAGUAUAUCGUCUAUAUUUAUGCAAAUCCGUGUUUGUUAUGAACGAAAGGCACAAAAAUUCUUUUAAUAGAUUACCCGUAUUCCUUGAUACAUUGCAAAGAUAUUUGCGCUUGCGAAAAGAAACAUCAGACCUAACGAUAUAAGAAUACAAGAAUCACAUUAGCAAUUGAUUAUUGUCAACGUCGUCUUUCGAUGCUAUAAUUAGUAGAAGUUAUCCGCUAAAUUUCCCGCAAGUGCAUAAACAUCUGCAGCCUAAUUACUAUAGAUUAUACGUACUACUGUCUUGUUAUUGUGACAAUUAACGUUCCUAUAACAGCGGAGUCGGUUAUUAUACAUUUCAAGGUUACUUAAAGCACAUUUUAAAGUGGCCAUGACAAAACGGGAGCAAAUAUCGGCUGAAUUGGAGUUCGAUUCACGCCGAAAACGAACUGUUGGAUAUUCUCUGCUCCAAGGCCAUUCGCCAAGAAGAGAAUCGUAAGUGCAUAUAGUUGCGAUUCGUGCGUCUGGCCGGCAGGUAUGGCGAACGCGUGAACGCAUAAGACGCGAUCCACGAGAUCCACGAUGAAACCAGUUUUUAAAACGUGACUCACGAUUGUCCCGUAUCAUAUGCGACAUGCUGUAAAAAUAGCUUAGUCAGAACUCGUUCCUGAACAUCCUCGAGCAACCGCCUUGCUCGCCAAGCACGGCCAACAAUGUUCGCGCGAACGAACCGCGAAAAACGUUUGUGCAUCAUGUGCAUACCUAUUAGAAAAACGCUGACGCGCCUGUAUUCCUGCAUUUCCGACGUCAUUUAACCGAUACUGAGUCACGCUUUUCCAUUCCGGUGUUCUUCGUGGCUCGUUCUUUUCGAUUAUAUAUUCCGCGUGUAAGGAUCGCGCGUCGUCAAUUUUUUUCACGCGUCGAACAUCGCACGCGAUCGAGAACCGGCUGGUUUGAACUUCGUUCAAGAAAUAUUUCGCAACUUUCGCACUGUGUGCAAUUUCUUGGCUGCAGACUUUCGCAGAAAGCAUUCUAAAGCCGUGCAACGUAAGCGUUCGCAGUAAAUUCAACCGUUUUCCUUACGAGUAACUUUUUAAAUGUUAUUAUUCCAAAUAUUGAGACUUCUAAGUAUUUCCAGUGCAUGUUCCUCUUUUUCAACGUAUGAAAUGUCCGAUUCUGUUCUAUCUAUGUUCUAUGUAUUUGUAGAUGUAUCAUUCUAUGUUAUUUUAACUCUUGGACGGCACGCUAAAAUAAUUAAAAUAGAUAGAAGACGUUUAGCUGCUUUAUCAUUUGCACUUGAAAUAUACGUAUAUAUUUGUGGAUAUAUUUUGCGUAUUUUAAUUUCUAUAUUUUAGACCUAUGUAAGGACUGAGUCAAAAAGGAACCUUCCUGGGACACGCACGAAAAAGGAUCUAUACACGUGUAAAAUGUUCCGCAAGGAAAGAAGCGAUUUGUAAUAUCGGCAACGAGACAAGAUGCAAACGUAACCGUGCAAUUAUGGAUGUCGAUAAAGAUAAGGCAUGUCGAUGUUACGUAAAGGUUUAACAUCCGGAAGUGGCGCGACGCAUGCAGCCUACGUAAUAGGAAACUAUCUCCCUUUGCCUCUUCCUUUUGAUUUCUUUCACUUUUAUGCUUCCACGCGAUUUCCAUCCUCGUUGUGUCCGUCAUAGAUCAUACUUAUGCAUGACGCACGAUGAAUAUCGUGUAGUAAUCCUACUGCCUGCUUGAGUUGUGAUACAUAAAUAAAAAAACACUUUUACCAACUAGAAAGAUAAAAAGUUAAUAAUGCAGGGCGAACAAGUAUCAACUCGACACGUUCUACUCGACACAAAUAUUUUAAGAAUAUUUACAAAUAUAGUUUAUGAAAUAUGUUUUCGCUGUUAUCGCGUUCAUAAAUAUCGUAUUUGUUUUUUUUUUAUUUAUUUAUUAAAAUUACAAUCAAUUCUUGCGUUGAGAAUAUAAAUAUUGUAUUAUGGAGAGAAAACCGUCGGACAUCUCGAUGAAUCACAGUUAGAAAACAAUAAAAGUGCUUACAGGCCGGGAAAGAUGAGAAAUCCCGGUGGGUCAUUACUUUUUUAUUUAAAGAUGUUUAUUAAACCCAAGAUACAAUUUUAAAUACAUUUUGGUAUUCACAAUAAACGGUGAAUUUUUGUAGUGAUGUUUUAGGAAAAAGUACCGAUACGCAACGGCGCUUUGCAUUUUUCGUGUUUAGUAUAAUUUUUGGGUUUAAGCCGCUGGGGGAGCGGAGCUUCUAUGUGAUUUUGUUUUUGUUUGUUUUUUCUGUCCUGAAAACUUGGUCGCAAAACAGGACUCUUCGGUAGCUUGCUUUUUGGGUACUGUGUAACUUUGGGGAGGGGUGGGAUGAGAGGGAUGGGGGGGUCAUUACCUGUCGCCCUAUAUGACUACUUGUGUCAAUACCUGCAAAACACGUGUACGUUGUAGCAAUAACGAAAGCUCUAGGUACAAAGGCUUCCUUGGUGAAGCUCCAAUUAAUUUCGGGAUAAUAGUUAUUCGUGAGUUGUCCAGUCGUUGUGAGUUAUUAGUUGUAAGAAGUCGAACCGUUGUAAGUUGUCGAAUCAUUGUGAGUUGUUAGUUGCAAGGUACAGUACUUAAAGAAAUUUAGUUGCUUUAGUUGUAUCACAUUAUUGCACUAAGUUCUAAUUAAAUAGAUAUAGUCCUUUCUCUGUUUCAAUCACGAUAGAUAAAUCUAUAUAAUAAACAAAGAUCGGUAUAAUCCUGAUCUUUAUAAUGUUUUCCCAGUAGAACUUAUUUCGUGUUUUUGCAAUCGUCUCGCGAUCUUUCGAGGAAACAGUAUAAAAAUGGAACGGAAAGAUGGAACUUUUAAAUACUUUGAUCCGGAUGAUAGCAAAAUUCUCAGAAUAACGCGUAAAAUAACACGGGAAAACAAUUCAGAGCGCUGGAAAAGCUUGAAACGUUCGAAGCUUUGAUGUUGGAAACUUUCGCUAAAUCUCGAUAUAGAAACGAAGAAACGAACAUCGGAAUAAAGAGACGCGAAAGGAUAAUUAGACGCAUUUCAAAAGAAUUCCGAAGAUGGAAUUGUGGUUUUAAAUUGACUUUUGGUCAACUGAGUAAAACUAGGUAAAAGUUAUCCUUUUAACGUUCUUUUCUAAAACAGGUUACACGAGAGCCGAUGUUCUUUUUAUUAGCUACUAUAGGAGUUUCCUCCUUUCUUUCUUUCGUUCUUUCUUUCAAUAGCUCGUGCAUUUUUUUCCACGUUGGCGAUUCUUUGGGCGCAUUCUCGCGACAAGCGUGCAUUGUUCUACGAAGCGACGUGAAAACGCAGAUCGCGAAGAAUCGAAACGAUUCCCGAGCAUUUCUGCGCGUUGCGCCGUACAUUUCUCUUUCACGGGCAACGUUUUUAUCUGUUCCCUUACGCGCAAGGAAGUUCCGUUCGAAAUUCUACUCUUUGUUUCCUCGAAAGGUCCGUAAUUAAAGAGAAAUUUCGUACAGCGCUACGAAAUAAGUAUUUCCUUCUGCAGCAACUUCUAACGACACGCUAAUGUUCCUGCGCGUGAUAAUCGCAAGAAGAAACUAGUUUUCUCUCGAUCUACUUUUUUUCUAUCUGCUAUAAUCCAGUCUGUUUGGAAAAGAAAAUUGCAAAUUAUUUCUCGAUAUCGCGUUAACAUCAACAAAUAUUAGAUUGCCCGAAAAGUUUCUUUCGUUUCAUAAGGUGAUCAUAGAUGAACAACAAUUUCUGUUUUAUAUUAUUUUAUUAUUACUGAAAAUUCUCAACGCGAGAAUUGAUUGUAAUUUUAAUAAAUAAAUAAAUAAAUAAAAAACAAAUAUUAUUUUAUCGAAUCAGGUCCAUUUUGUUCUAUUUCUAUUAUUAUGUUCGUGCACAAUUCAAUAAACUAAUAUAUUUUUUUUAUUUAUUUGUUAAAAUAUACGAUCAAUUCUCGCAUUGAGAAUUUUCGGUAAUUUUUUCUGGCGUGGCGCAGUGACAUGGCUAAUUAUUUAUAAUAAGUUAAUACUUAUUAUAGAUAAGUAUAAUUUAUAAAUAUUAUAAAUAAGUAAAUAUUACUUAAUUUAGAUAACUAAUUGAAUCUAGCGUUUAGGUCUAGCGGGUAGUGUCUCUUUAGCCUGUUUCUUUUUUUUUUUAUUUAUUUAUUUACAUUUUACAAUUUGUCCAGUAGGACAUUUGGUAAAAUAUUAUAGCUUAAUGGUAUAAUAAUAUAACAUGUGGAUGGCUACCCACAGUGGGAUACCAUCUUCGAAUCUCUUCAGCCUGUGGAUCUCAAUAAACUAAUAUAAAACAAAAAACAAUGUGCGUCUAUUAUUUCCUUAUAAAACGAAAGAAACAUUUCGGACAACCUAAUGUAUAUAGAAAUUGAAAAUUCGUAGGUAAUUUUAUAGUUACGAAACGUAGACACAUAUAAAUGUUCUACCUGAAUUCAACUCGCAACAAAAUAAAUCAAUCAAAUUCGAAGAUGGUAUCCCACUGGGGGUAGCCAUCCACAUGCUAUAUUACUAUAUCACUAAGCUAUAAUAUUUUACCAAAUGUCCUACUGGACAAAUUGUAAAAUGUAAAUAAAUAAAUAAAAAAAAAAAAAACUCGCAACGGUUGAAACACAGUGUCAUGAUGUGUUUUAGAGUGUACAAGGAGCGAAAAGAAGCAACGAGGAACAGCAUGUACGCAACAAGUAAGUGUUCGUAACAGUUUCCAUCGAUUCAUUCGAAUCACGACGAAUCAACGAAAAGGUCGUGGCUCGUUAUAGUCCCCUUUGGUUCGUCUGUUAAUCUAACGGUUCAAUGACACGUGGGAAAUUUUCAGAAUCGAGGACAGUUGGCCGCGUAUACAAAUAUGGCCUGCUUGUAUUUUCCUUCCUCUCUUGCGUUACAUUGCCACCGAGUAGACCACGACCGCCCACUAUUCUCUUCUUACGACAUUUUAUCAGCGUAAUCAGGAGAGCCGUGUAUCGUUACAGCGCAGAUAAAGUUUCAGUAACAGGUAAAGCGUACUCAUAUUCGCAAGCGUUUUCCGCGAUAAGAGUUCAAAUACUUUCGCGCGUCACUGCGUAUCUCUUCACGUUUGAAUCCAUUUUUUCCCUCCGUCGAUAGCAGUUUUAAGUUCUAGCCUGUGAUUCGCACUCGUUCGAACGUUGCAUGUUCGAUAAAAGAUAGGGAAAACAUUCUGCAAUUAUAGCCGACAUCUGCAAAUUCUCCCCGCAUUCCGCAAAUCAUCAACUAUCUCUGUGGUUAAUUAAAACGGCAGAUAAGAAAUAAUUAUUUAUUGUUGAAGUGGUCACCACUUGUAAGAAAACUCUACAUCUGGUUUUUUUCUUUUUUUUUUUCUUUCUCAACGCGAGAAUUGAUUGUAAUUUUAAUAAAUAAAAUAAAAAAAAAAAUCUGGUCUUUUUAGUUUUCUCAAGCACCGAAGCCAUCGACAGCGCGUAGACAAAAGACUGCGACGAAGUCAGACCAUAAACAGUAGACAGGCGACGUUGGCUUCGGGGUUUUCAGUUAUUGGGUGACACAGCUAGCGUGCGGAUCUGGACCAGCUCAAAUUGUAUUCUUACUUAUAAUUACACUUCUAUUUAAAUAUAUUUUCUGCCUUACAAUUUAUCCACGAGUUUUCUCUGUUUACACAUCGAAUAACCUCAACAGGUCAUGGGCCCAGAGCUGUAAAUUGCAAGGCAGCAACGUGAAGCGGAUAAAUUGUUAAAGUGUUGCGCUUAGUAAAGUAAAGGAUAGUGCUAAAAUGGAGUCAGCAAGUGCGAAGAUCGAGAUGUUACGUGGCGAAGAAAAUUGGCUCCAGUGGCGUUUUGUUAUGCGUAUCCACUUUUGGAGGAAGAUGACGACCUGAUCAACGUGUGUGAAGGGAAUCUGUGUCGUCCAGGUAACAGCGCGGAGAAAGAAAUCGCUCGUGAAAGAUUUUUGAAGGCAGAUCGGUUAGCGAGAAAAUUAAUCGUGACUUCAGUAGGAGGGAAACCGUUGGAUCUUCUUUUAUGUUGCACAACGGCAUAUGAAAUGUGGAAAAGGUUGAAUACAGUAUAUGACAUGAAGUCGAAUGAGAAUCUAAAUAUGUUCCAGAAGCAGUUCUUCGAUUUUAAAUGGGAAGAAUCUGUAAAUCUGUAAAUCAUCAACUAUCUCUGUGGUUAAUUAAAACGGCAGAUAAAAAAUAACUAUUUAUUGUUGAAGUGGUCACCACUUGUAAGAAAACUCUACAUCUGCUCUUUUUAGUUUUCUCAAGCACCGAAGCCAUCGACAGCGCAUAGACAAAAGACUGCGACGAAGUCAGACUAUAAACAGUAGACAGGCGACUUUGGCUUCGGGGUUUUCAGUUAUUGGGUGACACAGCUAGCGUGCGGAUCUGGACCAGCUCAAAUUGUAUUCUUACUUAUAAUUACACUUCUAUUUAAAUAUAUUUUCUGCCUUACAAUUUAUCCACGAGUUUUCUCUGUUUACACAUCGAAUAACCUCAACAUUUAUAAUUCCACUGAGUACAGUUUUUGGAGAUAUUUGGUCCCAAACGUUCUACGAUUCUGAUAAUCAGACCGCGGUUUCCUUGUGUGCACUUCUAGGAAAUCUGAAACUGCGACAAUGCGCAGAAUGGCACGUAACGUAGAAAUAAAAAUGGAAAAAUAUAUAAAAUAUUCAAACUACGGUACUACUUAUCAUAACUAGAUUGCAAAUACGAUUAAUACGAUUAAACAAAUGGAACGUAAAUUAGAAAUUUUCUACUGGAUAUUAGGAGAAGUACGCUUACUUUCGACGUAUUAUUCUACCAUAAAUUUCCCAUAAUAGCGUAAACAUUCCCAGAUAAUAUUUUGCGAGUAAAAUGAUUCUUCCAUUGGAUUCCAUUUUUUUAAUUAUAUCCGUAAAAAUAGGAAUUUGCAUAAUUAUCCGCAAUCCGACUGGUAACGAUAAUUCCAAUUUUAACAUGUUCCAGGUGUGCCUAAAAUUCGUCGAAGAGAUGUUCUCCAAGUUCCCAGCACCAUACGAACGUCUCUCAUACCAAAGCGUAGUUCUCAAACAGUACGUAUAACGUCGAUACAAUAUCGAAAAAUUUAAAUACUGACGAUAAUAUCGACCUGUCUGAAUGCUCAGUAAAGAUCGCUCUUAAAAGUUACGCCAAACGCGACAAGCACGAAACAAAGUCGAAACAGGAAAUUUAUUAUUUCAGAUGGGUUUCUCCGAAUGUGAUGGCACGCAGCCAAACGGGUGCAAAGGACGUUUACGUUUGGCAGGAGUAACAAAAGGAAGAAACAUAUCCUGCUAAAAGCCAUAAUUUAACCAGGUAGUAGCGCAUAGACAAACGAGCAAGCAGGCUCGAAAAUACGUACAAUUUCAUACACUUGUCCGAUAAAAAAACGUUUAAUCUGAUUUGCGUAUCGUUCUAUCGCGCAAUCAUAGAAACGUUUCGUUAGAGAACUAACGCUAUAAAAAUUCUUGUUCAGGCAAGAAAUCGUUGCUGUUGGCAGUUUGAAAAUGCAAAUUGUCGUGCAAGUGUUCGAUUUCUUGCACACCUUUGACCGCUGCGUUGCAACGUGUCGAUUCGUUGCGUCCAUCUUUUUCCAACCUCUCGCAAAAUGUACUGCGAUUGCGCAAUGUGUACGAACUGCGAAAAGAAGUUCUUACGACGCAUGCGCGUACUUUUGCGCGCGUGAGGAAUUAAUUAUGAACAAAUUAUAAAUCGUUCAUUGAAAUCGAAAGAAGUUAACAAGUGUUCGAACUGCGCUUGUUUAUGCCUAAUAAGUAGUUUAGUCUGAAUAUUUUAUGCGUCGUAUGCUCGCAUAUUGCGUGCUGUCUAUAGGUUUUUACGCUUAUAAAUUUUUCAUAAAUGCAAUAAACACUCGGGAUAAUCGUCUGUUUAAACAUCUAUCGAUAAGAAUUUAUUCGCGAUCUAAUAAAUUCAGUUAUCGCAUUGCGAUACUUAAAAGUGGAACGUUUUUCUAUAGAAUGAAUAUAAAGUAGGCUCGAACAGAUAAGGUAAAUGCUUGAACAGAUUUAACAAGAAUAGAAAAUGGCUUUUUGCUCGAUAUGCAAUACGAAAAUAUUGAUGAUACGUAUGGUAGGGGCGUUAUAUACAGGGUGGUUGGUAACUGGUGGUACAAGCGGAAAGGGGGUGAUUCUACGCGAAAAAGAAGUCGAAAAUAUAGAAUAAAAAUUUUUUUUUUUUUUUACUUUUUCCAUCGAGACAACGAUCCACAGUGAGAUUCGUUAUAACGUACCGCACGCGUACCGAGCGAAAAUUCAAAGUCGAUUUUCUCGAAAACAAAGCCUCGAACGAAAAAUUUUUAUUCCAUAUUUUCGACUUCUUUUUUCGCGUAGAAUCACCCCCUUUUCGCUUGUACCACCAAUUGCCAACCACCCUGUAUAUAAACAAAUUAAUUCUACGCAUUGAUUCCUGCUUGAAAUUUGUUUUUUUUUUUUUUUUUUUUUUGUUUAAUGAAUAUUACAAUAUCGCUCGAGCGAAUAAUACAGCGAAAUAUGGGGUCCGAUGUAUUGUCACGAGGUCAAAAUGUUUUCUAUUUUUAGUUGGAACGUGACGCAAAUAACGCAAGCGUCGAUCCGAAGAACUAAUUCGAGAGGAACGUUGAACUUUCCGUGCUGUAAGAAAUCUAACAGCAGAUAUGAUUCACGGAUAAUUUAUCUAAUAUCUGUGUGUGUUAUAGUUGUGCAAACGUUACAAUGAAAAUGCAAACGAGUAUUGUGAACUCCCGCGAUCGGCCAAGAUAGGGAACAUUUCUAGCAAAACAACGUAUUAUGCAUGAAAUUAGGGAAGCACCAAAAUUAUUUUGCGGCAAAGUUAUUGUUACUGAAUUAUUUUUUUCUUCUUUUUUUUAACAAUGGCAAACAUUAAUCGUACUUACGAUUCGAUCGGAAUAUGAAGAAUUCAACGAUAUAAAUUAACUGAAAUAGAUUAGAGAAUGGAAGCUUGCAUCAAAUGCAGCGUUGAUCCUCUGUCAAAUACUUAAGAAUUAAACA
This is a long non-coding RNA of Bombus huntii, 15377 nucleotides long. RefSeq lists it as uncharacterized. The record is from RefSeq and is a predicted model, not a curated record. NCBI's taxonomy places the organism in Eukaryota, Metazoa, Arthropoda, Insecta, Hymenoptera, Apidae. The transcript has 2 exons.